This is a non-coding RNA of Durio zibethinus, 2209 nucleotides long. Lineage: Eukaryota; Viridiplantae; Streptophyta; Magnoliopsida; Malvales; Malvaceae. The record is from RefSeq and is a predicted model, not a curated record.
UAACCUGUUUAAACAUUUGGUAUGAUUUAACUAUCAGACUUUAACCAAAAAAGUAGGCUAUGCAUCACGAGAAGGCUGAAAAAGGCAGAAAAACAAUUACAACUUCCCGCCUCCCCUUCAAGUUAUUGUGCAGCAAUAUCACGAAAAAAGCAAUACUCUUUUUCCAUUUCCAAAUCUCAAUCCAGAGAAAAAUGGUGCGAGCUUCCUCUUCAAAGAAGCCACGGACUGCAGAAACCCCAGAAGCCACAGAGCGGAGAAGACUGAAGAAAUUGGCUUUCAGAAACAACUUGCUUUCCGAGAUAUCGGCCGCGCCCAAAUCUUACGUGCCUCUCAGCCCGUCGAAGCAAGUAAUAAAGCACCAUGGCAAAGAUAUUCUCAGGAAAUCUCAAAGGAAAAACCGUUUCCUUUUCUCUUUCCCCGGUCUCCUUGCUCCCAUCUCUGGUGGCAAGAUCGGCGAACUCAAGAAUUUGGGCUCCAAAAACCCUACCCUCUACCUUGAUUUCCCUCAGGGUCAAAUGAAGUUGUUUGGUACAAUUGUGUAUCCCAAGAAUAGGUAUCUGAGUUUGCUCUUCUCUCGUGGUGGGAAGAACGUUAUGUGUGAGGAUUAUUUUGACAACAUGAUUGUAUUCUCCGAUGCAUGGUGGAUUGGGAAAAAAGAUGAGAACCCAGAAGAAGCACGGCUUGAUUUUCCAAAGGAACUGUGUGAGGGACAUCUGAUGGAAUAUGACUUUAAAGGUGGUGCUGGGGUGGCAUCUGUUAACAAGCAAGGCAUUCCUAGAACAGAAAUAAAACGGGUUGAAGUAGAGUCCCUUGAUACUGAGUCUGGAGAUUCUUUAUCAGAUGAUGACAACAACUUGAAAGUUAAGAUGGAAGUGACACCAACUCGGCACUCUGCAAGAAAUGCUGGCAAAAGAUUCAAAUUUUCUGAGGCUUCUUCCGAGGAUGACCCUGUCAGAAGUGAUGCUGAACCAUUAGAUGGAGAAGAGAAGGAAGUUAGCAUGAAACUUGAUUUAACUGAAACUGAUACUAUUGGAAAGACUAUUAGUUCCAUUCCUGUGGUUCUUGGUUCUGAUACUAAAGAAGAUAACCGGGUCUCCAAACAAAACCAAACUUCUCUAAUGUCAGCGACCAAGUUCAGAAAAACAUCUCAGUCAACUGUUACAGUGACUAAAUCUAAGGAAAAUUUAAACACAAAUCGUGGUUCACUUGUUCAAGCUAACAUAUCUACACUGUUUAAGAAAGUGGAAGAAAAGCGAUCAAAGGGUUCAGAUAAAUCUUCAUCCUCAAAAGGUUGCCUCUUUCCCGCUUGCUUUUCCCAUUAUAAAUAUUGUGAAAGAUUAUUAAGAUUUAUGAUUUGUUUCCCUAUUGUGUGCUUUCAGUUCCUCGUAAGAAGUUGCAGUUUAAGAAUUCCAAACGGAAGAUUGAUCAGACUGAGGGAUCUAACAAAAUGGGAAAAUUAAUUGAAGAAAAAACCACUGGUUGAAGAGGACAUCCAAGAAUUGUCAAGCACAUCACAGGAUACUAAUGGAAGUGAUGAAGAUUGGACUGCGUGAGAUUACAAUAUACCCCUAUGGUAAAUAUAGGAAUGACCAAGCAAAUUCAAGCAUAUACUUAAACGAAGUGAUGAAGAAAGACUAAACAAGGAGAAAAAUUUAGAACCCUGAUGGUAGAUUUCUAAAGGGGGGCUCAGAUUUCCAAUUGAUAUGUAAAAUUAGUGAUAAUUAGCAUAGCCAUGAUUGUUAUGUUAUUACUCUUGUUAAAAUUUUAAAUUCCACGAUUAGAUUAGUUCUUCACUUGGUCGCUCAUAUCGGUAGAAAGGAAAGCAUUAGGAGAAAAAUGAUAAUAAUUUAAUCAUGUUAAAUUGUGGUAUUUUGCCAUAUCUUUUGCUGCAGGGUUUCAGAUUCCUAUAAUUGGAGAUAUAUCUUUUGGACCUACUAUUUUAAACUCUUUUUCCAUGCAUGGUUGGCUGUGAUGAACAUACGAAAAGUUGUAUGUAAUUUAUUGAUUUGGUUGAGGAAAAACUUUAAUUAAGUGGGUGUUUCUUAUAUUUAAUGUGGAUUGGACAUGUAUUUGAUUCUUUAAAGAUCGAGAAUACUUGACCUCAACCUUAUAGCUCUCUAGCCAUUAUCACAAUUGGACUUGCAAUUUGAGUGUAUGUAAAAUGUCAAUCAAUGCAAAAUAUGGGCAAAAGGGUGAAAAAAAAGAAAGA